AAGAUUUUAAGUUAAGUAAACUAAAAACUUUCAAAGUUUUUAAUAAAUUAGUAUAAUUUAAAUCUUG
RNAcentral lists this transfer RNA (67 nucleotides) under Sepiella maindroni. RNAcentral describes it as "tRNA-Trp". Lineage: Eukaryota; Metazoa; Mollusca; Cephalopoda; Sepiida; Sepiidae. RNAcentral also lists the same sequence under 1 other name. The record is from RNAcentral.